AAAGAAGUACAAGUGGUAGGG
Molecule: microRNA, 21 nt
Filed under: Nematostella vectensis (starlet sea anemone)
Lineage: Eukaryota; Metazoa; Cnidaria; Anthozoa; Actiniaria; Edwardsiidae
Also listed under: 3 other names
Description: nve-miR-2023-3p
Source: miRBase by way of RNAcentral